Molecule: transfer RNA, 79 nt
Filed under: Western X phytoplasma
Lineage: Bacteria; Bacillati; Mycoplasmatota; Mollicutes; Acholeplasmatales; Acholeplasmataceae
Description: tRNA-Ile
Rfam family: tRNA
About the family: Transfer RNA (tRNA) molecules are approximately 80 nucleotides in length. Their secondary structure includes four short double-helical elements and three loops (D, anti-codon, and T loops).
Source: RNAcentral
GGGCCGAUAGCCCAGCUGGUUAGAGCACACGCGCAGCAUAAGCGGGAGGUCGGUGGCUCAAGUCCAUUUAGGCCCACCA